RNAcentral lists this ribosomal RNA (455 nucleotides) under uncultured bacterium. RNAcentral's name for it is "bacterial SSU rRNA". It matches the Rfam family "Bacterial small subunit ribosomal RNA", at positions 32 to 498 of the family's 1533-position model. The record is from RNAcentral.
AAUCAACGCUGGCGGCGUGCCUCAGACAUGCAAGUCGAACGAUUAAAGCUCCCUUCGGGGAGUGCAUAAAGUGGCGCACGGGUGAGUAACACGUAAGUAAUCUACCCUCGGGUGGGGAAUAACAUCGGGAAACCGAUGCUAAUACCGCAUAAUGCAGCGGCACCGCAAGGUGACAGUUGUUAAAGAUUUAUUGCCUGGGGAGGAGCUUGCGGCAGAUUAGCUGUUGGUAAGGUAACGGCUUACCAAGGCUACGAUCUGUAUCCGGUCUAAGAGGACGGUCGGACACACUGACACUGAAUAACGGGUCAGACUCCUACGGGAGGCAGCAGUCGGGAAUUUUGGGCAAUGGGGGAAACCCUGACCCAGCAACGCCGCGUGAAGGAUGAAGUAUUUCGGUAUGUAAACUUCGAAAGAAUAGGAAGAAUUAAUGACGGUACUAUUUAUAAGGUCCGGCU